AGGAGUGUCAUUCACUGAACUGUAUUUACCAUCCAAAUUUGUCACCGCAACAUAGUUUUCAGUUUUCUUUGUUGGAUGUCGCAACAGGAAACAUGCAUAUAUAACAUAUUAUUUAUCAUAAUUCUAUAAAGUUAAAACAUAUAAACACACAUACAAAGAUACAAAGUAUCAUAUGUAAAAUUCGCUAGCAGCUUAAUAUUGUACCGAAAACCAUCAAAUUUUAUGCAAGGCCAAAUCAACAAGAAUUUCAAAAAUAAAACCAGACUCAUAACUUAUGAGUCUGAUUAGUCAUAACGUUAGUAUACCAUCUACAAAUCACCCCACCUCUGUUCUGCUUGUCCAUUGCAAGAAUUAUAUCAAAUUCUUUAAAAUUAGAGGGCCUUAUCGGCUUUGAUAAGGAGGUUAUCUGAAUUCCACGCCAUUUAAAGGCGGCCCUCAUUCUUGGGUUAGCUUCAUUACCCUUUAAAAAAAAUUAAAAACACCAAUUUCAAAGAAAACCCAAUAUUUAUCCACAGCCACCCACUACUAAGUAAUUUGGGGAACACAUUUUUAUCAAAAUAGAAGAAAAAUACAACACACAAAUGGGUAUCUAUAAUAUACCUCAUGUUAAUCGAUGGUGCCAGCAGAAUCGAUGAUAAAGUUGGAAUGAAGACCCCUUUUCUUAACCAAGUCUAUGUAUACACCCUCAGCAGCUGGGCUUCUACAGAUGUUACCCAGGCAUACAGUUGGCCUUCUAUAGAUGUUACCCAGGCAUACAGCUAGGGCUUCUAUAGAUGUUCAUAGGGUUAUAUUUAGGGAAAAAUUGGGGGAAUAUUGAAUUGGGAAAAUGUACCAAGCUUUAGAGAGACAGAAGCAGAGGGACGGCGACGGUGGAAGAGAGGGACGACGACGGGGAAGAGAAGCCACGACGCCGGCGAGAUCCUUACUGGCGACGACGAGGAAGAAAGUAAAACCACGGGAGAGAAACAAAGAAAUAAAAUCGAGAUUUCAGAUCUGGCCUGGAGACUGGGAGCGGG
Molecule: long non-coding RNA, 1016 nt
Filed under: Panax ginseng (ginseng)
Lineage: Eukaryota; Viridiplantae; Streptophyta; Magnoliopsida; Apiales; Araliaceae
Description: long non-coding RNA (PGIN_LNC006733)
Source: RNAcentral